CCUACGGGCGGCUGCAGUGGGGAAUAUUGGACAAUGGGCGAAAGCCUGAUCCAGCCAUGCCGCGUGUGUGAAGAAGGCCUUCGGGUUGUAAAGCACUUUCAGUGGGGAAGAAAGCCUUGGGGCUAAUACCCUCGAGGAAGGACAUCACCCACAGAAGAAGCACCGGCUAACUCCGGCCAGCAGCCGCGGUAAUACGGAGGGUGCGAGCGUUAAUCGGAAUUACUGGGCGUAAAGCGCGCGUAGGCGGUCUGAUAAGCCGGUUGUGAAAGCCCCGGGCUCAACCUGGGAAAGGCAUCCGGAACUGGCAGGCUAGAGUGCAGGAGAGGAAGGUAGAAUUCCCGGUGUAGCGGAGAAAUGCGUAGAGAUCGGGAGGAAUACCAGUGGCGAAGGCGGCCUUCUGGACUGACACUGACGCUGAGGUGCGAAAGCGUGGGUAGCAAACAGGAUUAGAUACCCCAGUAGUC
RNAcentral lists this ribosomal RNA (464 nucleotides) under Vreelandella stevensii. Its description in RNAcentral is "partial 16S ribosomal RNA". It matches the Rfam family "Bacterial small subunit ribosomal RNA", at positions 338 to 795 of the family's 1533-position model. The record is from RNAcentral. Lineage: Bacteria; Pseudomonadati; Pseudomonadota; Gammaproteobacteria; Oceanospirillales; Halomonadaceae.